Molecule: transfer RNA, 65 nt
Filed under: Mytilus californianus (California mussel)
Lineage: Eukaryota; Metazoa; Mollusca; Bivalvia; Mytilida; Mytilidae
Description: tRNA-Asp
Source: RNAcentral
UUAAAAGUAGUUAAUUUAUAACUUAGAAUUGUCAGUUCUAGAUUCCUUGUAAUAAGGCUUUUUAU